RNAcentral lists this ribosomal RNA (253 nucleotides) under uncultured bacterium. RNAcentral describes it as "partial 16S ribosomal RNA". It matches the Rfam family "Bacterial small subunit ribosomal RNA", at positions 524 to 776 of the family's 1533-position model. The record is from RNAcentral.
UACGGAGGGGGCUAGCGUUGUUCGGAAUUACUGGGCGUAAAGCGCACGUAGGCGGCUUUGUAAGUUAGAGGUGAAAGCCCGGGGCUCAACUCCGGAAUUGCCUUUAAGACUGCAUCGCUAGAAUUGUGGAGAGGUAAGUGGAAUUCCGAGUGUAGAGGUGAAAUUCGUAGAUAUUCGCAAGAACACCAGUGGCGAAGGCGGCUCACUGGCCCGGUACUGACGCUGAGGUGCGAAAGCGUGGAGAGCAAACAGG